RNAcentral lists this ribosomal RNA (427 nucleotides) under uncultured bacterium. RNAcentral describes it as "bacterial SSU rRNA". It matches the Rfam family "Bacterial small subunit ribosomal RNA", at positions 29 to 449 of the family's 1533-position model. The record is from RNAcentral.
AAUGAACGCUGGCGGCGCGCCUAAUACAUGCAAGUCGAGCGAGAAGACGUAGCAAUACGUUUGUAAAGCGGCGAACGGGUGAGGAAUACAUGGGUAACCUACCCUCGAGUGGGGAAUAACUAGCCGAAAGGUUAGCUAGUACCGCGUACGCUCCUUGGACUUCGGUUCAGGGAGGAAAGCGAUACCGUGGGUAUCGCGCUCUUGGUUGGGCUCAUGUCCUAUCAGCUUGUUGGUGAGGAACGGCUCACCAAGGCUUCGACGGGUAGCUGGUCUGAGAGGACGAUCAGCCACACUGGCACUGCGACACGGGCCAGACUCCUACGGGAGGCAGCAGUAAGGAAUAUUGCGCAAUGGGCGAAAGCCUGACGCAGCGACGCCGCGUGGGGGAUGAAGGUCUUCGGAUUGUAAACCCUUCGGUAGGGAAGAU